AGACCGAUCCGGGCCCCUCUGGCGCAGUUCCGCUGCGCGAUGUCGGAUCACCGCG
Molecule: regulatory RNA element, 55 nt
Organism: Xanthobacter autotrophicus
Lineage: Bacteria; Pseudomonadati; Pseudomonadota; Alphaproteobacteria; Hyphomicrobiales; Xanthobacteraceae
Rfam family: terC RNA
Source: Rfam